GAUAAGUGAUAACAAUUAAAGAAAAUGUUUUAUAUUUUGAAGUUUGAAUGUUGAAUGUGUAAGACCGUCUUAUAAUAAAGCAAUUUUUUUUUAAUUAAACUAGCAACACUAAACCAUUUAGAUCAAAAAGUCCCCACUUUAGUACUGGAUAUAGAUAAUAUUAUAGGUAUACCAACGAGGUAUAAAAAGAAAUUGCAAAGAUGCGUAAAGUUGAAGACUUUAAUACAUUAGCUGACUGCAGAACUAUCUUCAUUUGCGCAGUAGCGCGGCUGCACUAAACAGCGUUCCAUUGCGUUGCAUAGCUUGUUUUUUUUGUGAAUUUGUCAUUCGAAAAUGGGGUUCUUCACAGCUGUAGCAGUAAAUGUAAUUGGGGGUGCCGUAAUUUACGGUACAGGAGGCCUGGGAGCGGCUUGGGUAGCCCCAUGGUUGGGUUUCGGUAGUGCGGGUAUUGCUAGCGGCAGCAUGGCGGCAGCAGCACAGUCUUACUAUGGCAACCUCGCUGCUGGCAGCAUUAUUUCUAAGAUGACAGCUGUUGCUAUGGCUUCACCUACACCUUAAGUAGGUACUGCCUGCCAUCCUACCUACAUUGAUGAAACUGAAACUAUUUUUUAUUUUAAAUAAAAAUGAAAGUUUCUUUAGAAGUUUGUUAUUUUAUUUUAAAAUAUUUAACCUAGUUUACUUUUACCGAAUCCCUCGUCCCCAUUCGAAUAUCACGUUACGUUAUGGACGUAAUAGUAUAUUACGCCCAUGAGCGCAGUUGAAAAGAUACAGAUUCAAAACAAUCAUAUACACAUGUAAGAAAGAAAACGCGUUAUAUCAAAAAUACAUAGUAAAUAUGAUCACUCGAUCACCACUUCUUUGUAUAAGACUAAUACCACCAUAGAUUAUACACUUAUAUACUGGUAAAUACCACUAUACUCAUACUUUAUUAAAAGUUGGGGUUGUCUGGAAGAAAUGGCUAAUUAGCCAUAAGUCCGCCCAUUG
This 984-nucleotide unclassified non-coding RNA is filed under the name Melitaea cinxia (Glanville fritillary). Its description in RNAcentral is "misc RNA ENSMCXG00005021284.1". Lineage: Eukaryota; Metazoa; Arthropoda; Insecta; Lepidoptera; Nymphalidae. The record is from RNAcentral.